This 12889-nucleotide long non-coding RNA is filed under the name Capsicum annuum. RNAcentral's name for it is "long non-coding RNA (CANN_LNC002763)". Lineage: Eukaryota; Viridiplantae; Streptophyta; Magnoliopsida; Solanales; Solanaceae. The record is from RNAcentral.
ACCUUUUAUCUAAUAAAUGCAGCCCUUCCAUAAGUCAGGGUUUGUUGCAUGUAUUAGCUUUAGAAUUACUACGGUUAUCCAAGUAGUAGAUACCAUCAAACAAACUAUAACUAAUUUAAUGAGCCAUUCGCAGUUUCACAGUCUGAAUUUGUUUAUACUUACACAUGUAUGGCUUAAUAUUUGAGAAGAGUAUAUGACUCCUGGAAGGAUCAACCAGGUAUCACUCCUCAUUGAUGCUGGCAUCGCAAGAGCCUGGACAACCUAAAAAGGUGCAAACGGGUUCAAGGAGAGAAAGACCGUCAUUUUCAAGGAGCAUCGUAUAGGGAAGAUACUAGCCGCUAAAGACCCCAUGCCCAAUGUGUCUACCGCAUCUGAGAAUCCCGACCGCUACUUAUGGACCACAACAUUGCACGACGAAGCGAGGUAGGCAUAGUACACUGGGCGGCCUUUUGGUUCCCCCUGCGCAUGGAAUGCAAAGGGCGAAAGGCGAUCAAUAAAACUUGAUAAUGCCUGGGAUUAGGUAUGCUGCAUAGGAAACUGACUUUGAGCAAGCCUAAAUUGUUCUUGCCCUAAGACUGAGAUAGCAGGCGGGUCAGGACAUCGCUUCUCUAGUAGGAAUCCAACCUAACCACACAUGUCGAACACAACUUACGCAUUGUGUGUUUGAAUGCUCCAUCGAUGUACGCCCAAAACCAACCCCAACGCGUAGCCAUAGAUGUCGUGCACUGUUGCCCAUGCAAAUUUUGCAAUGAUAAAGCAAUUCACACUUUACAUGAUAGCCCACUCUUAUGGGAACAAAGGAUAUGAAUGCACGGCAAGGUUACUGCACAAGCGCCGCCCACAUCGGCCGCUAACGCUCUAUGCGAAUUCUGCUCAGCCCAUGUGGGCAGCGCCUGGAGCUUGCCCCGAGAGAAGCAUUUAGAACUCGCUGAAAGUACAAAAGCAUUGCCUUAUCCAGAAUCAAACGCCAACAUCCUUGUCGUGGACAAUGCCACCGAUAGCAGACACGAGCACACAAUGAAGCACGGUCGACGUUGUUUCGUGGGCACUAGUGGCUCGUACGAUCAUGCCAUGCAUGCUGCCAUGUGCCCAUACUGCACGCCGACAUGCCAAGUGAGCGCAUACACCAACUAGCGACAGUCGCCUUGAAGUGCCUUUAACACCGCUACCUAUCUUAUAUAUUCUUAAAAAAAAUAAGUGAUAGGAGUAGACAUGAUUUUUCCAUAGAAUCAAACUAAAGAUGUAUGGACUAGAAGUGCACUUUUUGACAUAAGACUGAGCCAACGCACUCACUAAAGAGUCACGUAAUUUGUAAGUGAUAACUUUCAUUAAGAAAAUAUUUUUUAAAAUAUUUUAUUUAUGAAAAUUCAAAAAAUAAAUGGAAAAGGUUCAAAAAUACCCCUGAACUUUCUAAAAUAGCUCAAAAAUACCCCUUGUCAGAUUUUUGGCUCAAAAAUUCCCCUCCGUUAAAUAUUUGGCUCCAAAAUACCCCUCCCCCUAACGGAAUUCAUAAAAGGAUUAAAAAUACCUUGAACUAUCUGAAAUGGCUCAAAAAUACCCCUCUGUUAAAUAUUUGGCUCAAAAAUACCCCUUCCUUUAACGAAAUUCCACCAAGUAUGCCACCUAGAUAAAAAAAAAAUACCACGUGACUAUGCCACAUUACCGUCCAUAUGUAAAAUAUUAGUAUUUUAUAAUUAUAUGACAUUCUUUUAUUCUUUAUUCUUUAUUUUUAUUUUUAUUUUUUUGCAAAGCAGUGAAACGGAAAAACAAAAAAAUCAAUCUUUUGUUAAUUAUUUCAUUAGUGUUUUACAAGUUCUAGAUUUCACCUUUUCAUUAGUUUUUUAAAAGUUCUAAAUUUUAUCUUUUUAUUGUUAUUUGGGAUAAGGGACGGCUUGAUCUUGAUCUUAUGUUGACUCAGAGGAGGAGCUAGAAUUUCAACUUUUAAACUAGCAAAUGUUGAUGUACUAAUAACUGAGUUGAAUUUACUACAUGCAAAUUCUUUUUAAAAAUAAAUGAAUUCCUUUUAACACUUGUUUAAUCAUUCGAAGUGAAUUUAUUUUCUAAAUUUAGUUUUGAUGAAUAAUCUUAUUAUUUUUAGAACAAGUAUGAAAAGAAGUAAAAUGAUACUUAAUAUUGAUAAAUUAUUAUUUAAUUAUGUCAUUCAUUAAAUUUUUGAAGAUGUGUGCCACAUUCAAAGAUUCAUUAAAUUUUUAGCCAAAUAUUUAACAAAGGAGUAUUUUUGAGCUAUUUCAGAUAGUUCAGGGAUAUUUUUGAUCCUUUUUCGGAUUUCGUUAGAGGGAAGGGUAUUUUUGAGCCAAAUAUUUAACGGAGGGGUAUUUUUGAGCAAAAAAUCUAAUGAGAGGCAUUUUUGUGCUAUUUCAGAUAGUUCAGGGGUAUUUUUGAGCCUUUUUUGAAAAAUAAAUAAAAAUAAAUAAAAAAAUAUGAAAAUAAAAUUUAAAUAUAAAAGCAUUAAGAAAAUAUUUUCAACGUAUGAAGUAACCUUAAACCAAUAAUUGAGUGCAUAUUUGUAUGUAUAACUUAGCGAUAUAAAAUAUCAAAAUUUAAGGAUUUUAAAUAAAAAAAUUUAAACAAAUAUAAAAAUAACGUGGGUGCAUUAGUAAAAUCGCCCAGAAUGCAACAGAUAAAUAACAACCCCAAGACAUGCAUAUUAGAAUGAAGUAACCUUAAACCAAUAAUUGAGUGCAUAUGUAUACGCAUAAAGUAACGAUAUAAAAUAUCAAAAUUUAAGGAUAUUCAAUAAAAGAAUUAAAAAAAAAUAUAAAAAUAAUGUGGGGCACAUUAGGAAAACCGCCUAGAUUGAAAUAGAUAAGUAGAAACCCCAAAAGAUGCAUAUUAGAAUGACCUUAAGCCUAUAAUUGAGUGUAUUUUUUAUAUUAAAAUUUAAAUAUUUAAGAAUCAAAUAAAAAAUUGAAAAAAAGAUUUGGGGACAUUACGAAAACUGCCCCAACAUAUGAGGUAAUAUUACAAUAUCAUUUAAAAACACUUAAUGUUGUGGGUUCAUAAAAAACAGAGGAAACUACCGUUAUCCUAGUGUACUCAGUUCUAUAAAUUAACAAGUCAAAUUCUGAUAUGAGUCAUAGAGCAUGUAUUUAAUGAAAGAACUAUGCAAUGGUAAGGAUGAUGAUGGAUGAACGUUAUGAAUAUAUUCGGAUAAUAAAACCUUGGUUUACUCUUUUUUGAUUUUUGCACAGUGCCUUCACCGUGCCCAUGGUGUCAGGGUGCCUUGAUGCACUCGCGGCGGGUGCACGGGUGUGCGGGUACCAAGCCCACAGUUCCUACCUUAGGAUGCAUGGGUGCCACAGUUCGCGGGGACUUGGUUCCAUGGUAUGGGGUGAUAUAGUGCCUUGGUACCAUGGUGCGCGGUGCCUUGGUUCCAUAGUGCGUAGUGCAAUGGUGCGUAGUGCCUUGGUUCCAUGGUGUAUGGUGCCAUGGUGCCAAGGUCCGCGGUGGCUAGUGCCAUGGUGUGCGGUGCCAUGGUGCGCGAUGUCAUGGUGCCAUGGUGCAUUGGUACCUUGGAGCCAUGGUACCUUGGUUCCAUAAAGCCAGAGUGCACGGUGUCAUGGUGCCUUGGUCCAACCUACUCGACAAAGACACCACCAUGGUAGGCCGCUAUAGGUCCUUCGGCAUUUUUCAUCAUGGCACAUGAUGAUACUUGUUUUUCAUGCUGCUGAUUUUGUCAUACGUUGGAGACCGGGUCAUUGGACAUGUCUCUAGGAUUGCACUUGACGGUCACCUAAACCUCUAAUUACAACGUGCCUCCAUGCAUCGACGUUGGCCACAUGAUAUAUCUCUGGGCUCUUUAGCCACACUCCACAUCGUGGAAAACCUCUAAUUGUAAAGUCAUAGUUUUCCACAAAAGGCCACUUGAUAUCACACUUAACCGUUUGGAAUGAAACGCAUGCGAUACUUUAAAAACAAGUGGCAAACUCGGGUGAGGCUAUGCCAUGGCAUGCUCGAGGGUGAGGUAAAAUCACAACACUUAGUAGGAUUUUCCAAAUACGGAUGUAGAAACCUCCUUUGGAGAUGGAUGGAAAAAUGAUUAGAUUGGAGUGAGAGGGACGAACAAGAGCGACAAAGGGCUGAAUCUCAUUGGAUUAUGGCAGCAAGGCUACUCUGCCACUUAUAAUACUUCAUCGCAUAUUUAAGUCGCCUGCAAAGGAUUCUACCCACCGCUUGAUGGAAAUUGUACUUUAAGGUGGCCACCGUGAUUCUUUCGCCAUAAUGGCUUAGCCAACAAGACGGUCCAUUAAAGGCCAAGGCCCCUACUGCGGGUUGGCAAGAGGACGGAGGGCGCAUACAUCACUUAUAGCUAGAUUCUGACUUAGAGUCAUUUAGUCAUAAUCCAGCAGAAGGUAGCUUCGCACCAUUGGAUUUUCAACCAUGCGUGAUGACCAAUAUGUGAAUCAAUGGUUCCUCUCAUACUACAUUGAAUUACUAUUAUGACACUAUCAUCAGUAGGGUAAAACUAACCUGUCUCAUGAUAGUCUAAACCCAGCUCAUGUUUCCUAUUGGUGGAUGAACUAUCCAACACUUGGUGAAUUCUGCUUCACAAUGAUAGGAAGAGCCGACAUCGAAGAAUUAAAAAGCAAUGUCGCUAUGAAUUCUUGGCUGCCACAAACCAGUUAUCCCUGUGCUAAAUUUUCUGACACCUCUAGCUUCGAAUUUCGAAGGUCUAAAGGAUCAUUUGGACACGCUUCAUGAUACAUAUUCGUACUAGAAAUCAGAAUCAAAUGAGAUUUUACCCUUCGGUUCCGCAUGAUAUUUCUAUUCUGUUGAGCUAUUUUAGGGCACAUUAUUUAUAUUUUAAUAGAUGUGCCACCCCAACCAAACUCCCCACCUAAUAAUAUCUUCCACCUGGGUCGGCCUGUAGAGCGAGCCUUCGGUCCAAAAAGUGAGGUAGUUCCCCGCUUCUGAUUCACGUAAUAAGUGCAAUAACGUUAAAAGUAGUGGUUUUUCACUUUCGCCUUUCAGCUCCAACUUAUACUACACCUCUCAAGCUAUUUCACAAAGUCGGAAUAGAGUCAACCUCAACAGGGUCUUCUUUCACUACUGAUUUGCCAAGCCUGUUCCCUUAGUUGUGGUUUCGCUGGUUAGUAGAAAAGGACAGUAGAAAUCUCGUUAGUCUAUUCAUGUGCAUCACUAAUUUGAUGACGAUGCAUUUGGCUACCUUAAGAGAGUCAUAGUUACUCCCGCCAUUUACCCGCACUUGGUUGAAUUUCUUCACAUUAACAUUCAAACCACUAGCAGAAAUCGUAUUGCGUGAACAUCCGUUAGGACCAUGCAAUGCUUUGUUUUAAUUAAACAGUCAGAUUCCCCUUGUCUGUACUAGUUCUGAGUUGGCGGCUCAAGCAGUCCACCAACAGCCGACGGGUUUGGAAUUAGGACCCUCGUGCCUAGCCCUCUGAGCCAAUCCUUUUCCCAAACUUAUGGAUCCUUUUUGCCGACUUACCUUGCCUACAUUGUUCCAUCAACCAUAGAUUGUUCACCUUGGAGACCUGAUGCAGUUAUGAGUAUGAUCGGUCAUGGAUGACAUUCGGUCCUUUGGAUUUUUAAGGGCCACUGGGAGUGUACCGAACACCACGCGACGUACAGUGCUCUUCCAGCCGUUGGACCCUACCUCUGGCUGAGCCGAUUCCAGGGUGGGCAGGCUGUUAAACAAAAAAAUAAUACUUUCCGAGGCUCCUGCCGACAUCUUCAGACUUCCUAACAUUGCCAUCAACCAUCACGUCCCAGUUCAGGAAUUUUAACCCGAUUCCCUUUUGGAGUAUGCGUGAAAUUUGUUAUAUAUCGGGGUUCCCCCGAACCUUAGGAAUGACUAACCCAUGUGCAAGUGUCAUUUACAUGGAACCUUUCCCAUCUUCGGCCUUCAAAGUUCUCAAUUGAAUAUUUUUUACUACCACUAAGAUCUACACCGAUGGCCGCGCAACCCCGUCUUGCACAUAAGGUUUUGCAGUAACCACCGUGCCCUCCUACUCAUCGAGUCCUGGCACUUGCCCUGAAGGCUGGGUGUAGGUCACACGUUUAAGCACCAUCAAUUUUUGGGGCUAGUUAAUUUGGGAGGUGAGUUGUUAUAAACUUCUUUGCGAAUUUUGACUUCCAUAACCACCGUCCUGCUGUCUUAAUCGACCAACACCCUUUGUGGGAUCUAGGUUAAUGUGCAGUUUGGAAUCGUAACCCAUCUUCUGGUUCAUCCCACAUCGGCAGUUCUGCUUACCAAAAAUAGCCCACUUAGAGCUCUUGAUUUCGUGGCGUGGCUCAACUAAGCAGCCAUGCUGUCUUACCUAUUUAAAGUUUAAGAAUCGGUCAAGGGCGUUGUUCCCCAAGGCCUUAAAUCAUUAGAUUUACUCAAUAGAAAUCGCACGUGAGCUCCAGCUAUCUUACGGAAAACUUCAGAGGGAACCAGCUACUAUACAGUUCGAUUAGUCUUUGGCCCUAAUACUCAAUUCAGACGAACAAAAAACACGUCAGUAUCACUACGGGCGUCAAAUUGAGUUUCCUCUGGCUUCACCCCGGUCAUGCAUACUUCACCAUCACUCAGGUCCCAACAGGUAUGCUUACACUCGAACCCUUCUCAGAAGAUCAAGGUCGGUCAUUAGUGCACCCCUCAAGGGGAUCCCACCAAUCAGCUUCCUUAAGCCUUACGGGUUUACUAGCCCGUUGACUUGCACACAUGUCAGACUCCUUGGUUCAUCUUUCAAGAUGGCUCGAAUGGGGAGCCCACAGGCCAGUUUCUAGAGUGCACAGAUACUGAAGCACACCAGAGGCUCGCGCUGCCUGCCACAAUUUAGGAGACGGUGUUCCACGAGCAUAUCGAGAGCUUGGGCUUUCUUCAUCCCACUAGUCUAUGCUGGUCAAAACCCCGAGUCGAUCGGUAAACCAGCCCGUUGCCAUUCUACAUCCUACUAGGGCACAUUAUCGGCCCCCAUCCACUUCCCUCUCAACAAUUUAAAGAACUAUUUGACUCUUUUUUCAAAGUCCUUUUCAUCUUUCCCUCGCAGAACUUGUUCACUAUCGGUCUCUUGCCCGUUUUUAGCCUUGGACUGAAUUCAUUACCCGAUUUGGGUUGUAUUCCCAAAAAACCACUCCUUGACACCAUCUCAUGGCACAAAGGGACUCUCACCCUCUCUGGCGCCACCUUCCAGGGGACUUAGGCACGGUCCGCUACUAAGGACGCUUCUCUAGACUAUAAUUCGAAUGAUAGAGCUGCCCGAUUCUAAGGUUGGACUAUUCUCGAUUCUCUCGCAUUACUAAGUGAAUCCUUGUAAGUUUCUAUUCCUUUUUUUAUUGCUAUUAUUAAACUAUACGGGUAAUCUCGCCUAACUUGGCAUCGCGGUUAGAGUUCCUAAGAGCGAUAGGGUCUUGGAGUUCGGAUGCAAAAUGGGCAGUAGCCAUGACAACAAAGAGAGUUGAGUGACAACACAACUUGUCAUAAUGUCCAUAGAUGUGGACUCGUAUUUAGGCUAAUCGCGAGUUCGAGGUGCACGAGAGGCCAGUAUCCGCCCCGUGACGAUAGUACACCCAGUGAUUGAGGCUCUAUGUAAGGGGGCGGUACGAUACAUGGCACCCUGGCAGACGUGCCCUCAGCCUAAUGGCUUUGGGCACCACUUGUGUUCAAAGACUCAAUGGUUUACGAGAUUCUGCAAUUCACACAAAGUAUCAUAUUUCACUAUGUUCUUCAUCAUUGCGAGAGCCGAGAUACACAUUGGCGAGUCUCAUUUUUAUUUCAAAAGAAGUGCAGGUCCCCCCAACGCACGUCGUAGAUGGGGCGCAAGAGGCAGGCUAUCAAUUUAAGUAUUCCUUGGCGCUUUCCAUGUCGGCGUUGGUUAGUCGUCCAACCCGCGCACUGGGCGUACAUGCCAUUGCCGAGGGGGAGGCGUACGUGCGAAGGAUGAAGCACCCCACCAACACAGACUCCUCAAUUAUUAAACACAUCCACGGGUUAUUCUGCUGCACAGGUUUCCACAAUGAUCCUUUUGUAGUUUAACCUACGAAAACCUUGUUACGACUUCUCCAUCCUCUAAAUGAUAAGGUUGAAUGGACUUCUCACGAUGUUGUAGGCAAUGAACCGCCAACGUCACCAUGAUCCAAAUAUCUCACUGGAUUAUUCAAUCGGUAGGAGCGACAAGCGAUAUGUUAAAAGGGCAGGGACGUAGUCAACACGAGUUGAUGAUUUGCACUUACUAGAAGUUCUUCGUUGAAGACCAACAAUUGUAAUGAUCUAUCCCCAUCACAAUAAAAUUUCAAAGAUUAACCGGGCUUAUCGGCCAAUGCUAUAAAAUCAUUGAAUACAUCAGUGUAGCACGUGUGCGGCCCAAAACAUCUAAGGUCAUCACAUGUGGCACCUUGGCAUACGUGCCCUUAGCUAAUGGCUUUGGGCGCAACUUGUGUUCAAAGACUCAAUGGUUUACGAGAUUCUGCAAUUCACACGAAGUAUCGUAUUUCGCUAUGUUCUUCAUAGAUGUGAGAGCCGAGAUACAUAUUGUCGAGUGUCAUUUUUGUUUUUAAAAGAAGCACAGGUCCCCCCAACGCACGUCACAGAUGGGGCGCAAGAGGCAGGCUAUCAAUUUAAGUAUUCCUUGGCGCUUUCCAUGUCGGGGUUCGUUAGUCGUCCAACCCGCGCACUGGGCGUACAUGCCAUGGAUGAGGGGGAGGCGCACGUGCGAAGGAUGAAGCACCCCACCCACACAGAAUCCUCAAUUAUUAAACACAUCCACGGGUUAUUCUGCUACAUAGGUUUUGACAAUGAUCCUUUUGUAGGUUAACCUACGGAAACCUUGUUACGACUUCUCCAUCCUCUAAAUGAUAAGGUUGAAUGGACUUCUCGCGAUGUUGUAGGCAACGAACCGGCUACGUCACCAUGAUCCAAAUAUCUCACUGGAUCAUUCAAUCGGUAGGAGUGACAGGCGAUAUGUUAAAAGGGCAGGGACGUAGUCAACACGAGUUGAUGAUUCGCAUUUACUAGGAGUUCUUCUUUGAAGACCAACAAUUGUAAUGAUCUAUCCCCAUCACAAUAAAAUUUCAAAGAUUAACCGGGCUUAUCGGCCAAUGCUAUAAAAUCAUUGAAUACAUCUGUGUAGCACGUGUGUAGCCCAAAACAUCUAAGGUUAUCACAUGUGGCACCUUGGCAGACGUGCCCUUAGCCUAAUGGCUUUGGGCGCAACUUGUGUUCGAAGACUCAAUGGUUUACGAGAUUCUGCAAUUCACACAAAGUAUCGUCUUUCGCUAUGUUCUUCAUCGAUGUGAGAGCCGAGAUACACAUUGUCGAGUGUCAUUUUUGCUUUUAAAUGAAGCUUAGGUCCCCCCAACGCACGUCACAGAUGGGGCGCAAGAGGCAGGCUAUCAAUUUAAGUAUUUCUUGGCGCUUUCCAUGUCGGGGUUCGUUAGUCGUCCAACCCGCGCACUGGGCGUACAUGCCAUGGACAAGGGGGAGGCGCACGUGCGAAGGAUGAAGCACCCCACCCACACAGACUCCUCAAUUAUUAAACACGUCCACGGGUUAUUCUGCUGCACAGGUUUCGACAAUGAUCCUUUUGUAGGUUAACCUACGAAAACCUUGUUACGACUUCUCCAUCCUCUAAAUGAUAAGGUUGAAUGGACUUCUCGCGAUGUUGUAGGCAACGAACCACCUACGUCACCAUGAUCCAAAUAUCUCACUGGAUCAUUCAAUCGGUAGGAGCGAGAGGCGAUAUGUUAAAAGGGCAGCGACGUAGUCAACACGAGUUGAUUAUUUGCACUUACUAGGAGUUCUUCGUUGAAGACCAAUAAUUGUAAUGAUCUAUCCCCAUCACAAUAAAAUUUCAAUGAUUAACCGGGCUUAUCGGCCAAUGCUAUAAAAUCAUUGAAUACAUCAGUGUAGCACGUGUGCGGCCCAAAACAUCUAAGGUCAUCACAUGUGGCACCUUGGCAGACGUGCCCUUAGCCUAAUGGCUUUGGGCGCAACUUGUGUUCAAAGACUCAAUGGUUUACGAGAUUCUGCAAUUCACACAAAGUAUCGUAUUUCGCUAUGUUCUUCAUCGAUGUGAGAGCCGAGAUACACAUUGUCGAGUGUCAUUUUUGUUUUUAAAAGAAGUAUAGGUCCCCCCAACGCACGUCACAGAUGGGGCGCAAGAGGCAGGCUAUCAAUUUAAGUAUUCCUUGGCGCUUUCCAUGUCGGGAUUCGUUGGUCGUCCAACCCGCGCACUGGGCGUACAUGCCAUGGACGAGGGGGAGGUGCACGUGCGAAGGAUGAAGCACCCCACCCACACAGACUCCUUAAUUAUUAAACACGUCCAUGGGUUAUUCUGCUGCACAGGUUUCAACAAUGAUCCUUUUGUAGGUUAACCUACGGAAACCUUAUUACGAAUUCUCCAUCCUCUAAAUGAUAAGGUUCAAUGGACUUCUCGCGAUGUUGUAGGCAACGAACUGCCUACGUCACCAUGAUCCAAAUAUCUCACUGGAUCAUUCAAUCGGUAGGAGCGACAGGCGAUAUGUUAAAAGGGCAGGGAUGUAGUCAACACGAGUUGAUGAUUCGCACUUACUAAGAGUUCUUCGUUGAAGACCAACAAUUGUAAUGAUCUAUCCCCAUCACAAUAAAAUUUCAAAGAUUAACCGGGCUUAUCGGCCAAUGCUAUAAAAUCAUUGAAUACAUCAGUGUAGCACAUGUGCGGCCCAAAAUAUCUAAGGUCAUAACAUGUGGCACCUUCGCAGACGUGCCCUUAGCCUAAUGGCUUUGGGCGCAACUUCUGUUCAAAGACUCAAUGGUUUACGAGAUUCUGCAAUUUACACGAAGUAUCGUAUUUUGCUAUGUUCUUCAUCAAUGUGAGAGCUGAGAUACACGUUGUCGAGUGUCAUUUUUGUUUUUAAAAGAAGCACAGGUCCUCCCGACGCACGCCACAGAUGGGGCGCAAGAGGCAAGCUAUCAAUUUAAGUAUUCCUUGGUGCUUUCCAUUUUGGGGUUAGUUAGUCGCCCAACGCAUGCACUGGGCGUAUACGCCAUGGAAUAGGGGGAGGCACACGUGCGAAGGAUGAAGAACCUCACCCGCACAGACUCCCUAGUUGUUAAACAUAUCCACGGUUCAUUCUGCUGCACAGGUUUCGACAAUAAUACUUUUGCAAGUUAACCUACAGAAUCCUUGUUAGGAUUUCUCCUUCCUCUAAAUGAUAAGGUUCAAUGGACUUCUCGCGAUGUCACAGGCAGCGAACCGCCCACGUCACCAUGAUCCAAACAUUUCACUGGAUCAUUCAAUCGGUAGGAGUGACAGGUGGUGUGUUAAAAGGGCAGGGACGUAGUCAACACGAGCUGAUGACUCGCGCUUACUACGAGUUCUUCAUUGAAGACUAACAAUUGUAAUGAUCUAUCCCCAUCACAAUGAAAUUUCAAAGAUAAACCGGGCCUAUCGGCCAAUGCUAUAAAAUCAUUGAAUACAUCAGUGUAGCACGCGUGCGGCCCAAAAAAUCUAAGGGCAUCAUAGACCUGUUAUUGCCUCAAACUUCCACGGCCUAAAAGGCCGUAGUCCUUCUAAGAAGCUGGAUGUAAAAGUUUACCUCCGCAUACCUAGUUAGCGGUCUGACUUCUCGUUCGUUAAUGGAAUUAACCAGAAAAAUUACUCCACCAAAUAAAAACGACCACACACCACCACCCAUAGAAUCUAGAAAGAGCUCUUAGUCUUUCGAUCCUUACUAUGUCUGGACCUGGUAAGUUUCCCCAUGUUGAUUCAAAUUAAGCAGCAGGAUCCACUCCUGGUGGUGACCUUCUAUCAAUUUCUUUAAGUUUUAGCCUUGAGACAAUACCCCCCCGAAACCUAAAUACUUUGAUUUCUCAUAAGAUGUCGGCGGAGUCCUAAAAGAAACAUCCACCGAUCCCUAGUCGGCAUCAUUUAUGGUUGAGACUAGUACGAUAUCUGAUUGUUUUUUAGCCACCAACUUUCAUUCUUUAUUAAUGAAAACAUCCUUGGAAAAUUCUUUUACAGCUGUUCAUCUUUCAUUAAUACAAGAAUUUCACCUCUGAUUAUGAAAUACGAAUGCCCUCGACUGUCCCAAUUAAUCAUUACCCCGAUCCCAAAGCCCAAUGUAAAUAGGACCAAAAUCCUAAAAUGUUAUCUCAUGCUAAUGUAUAUAGAACGUAGGCUUGCUUUGAGCACUCUAAUUUAUUCAAAGUAACAGCGUCACAAGCAUGACCCGAACAGUUAAGUCCCGGAGAGCAUCACCGACAGAAUGGAUGAGACAACCGGUGCACACCAUAAACAGACUGGCUAGCCCAUCCCAAAGUCCAACUGUGAGCUUUUUAAUAGCAACAACUUAAAUAUACACUAUAGGAGAUAGAAAUACCACGGUUAUUGGCACCAGAAUUGCCCUCCAAUGUAUUCUAGGUAAGGGAUUUAGAUUGUACUCAUUCCAAUUACCAGACUCAUUGAGCCCGGUAUUCUAUUUUAUUAUCACUACCUUUCUGUGUCAGGAUUAGGUAAUUUAAGUGCCUGCUACCUUCCUUGGAUGUGGUAACCUUUUCUUAGGAUCCCUCUCCAGAAUCAAACCCUAAUUCUCCAUCAUCGGUCAUCACCAUGGUAGGCCACUGUCCUACCAUCGAAAAUUAUUAGGGAAGAAAUUUGAAUGAUGUGUCCGUGGUAUUAUGAUCGUUCGUUCUGUCAAGUUAUCAUGAAUCAUUAUAGCAACGGGUAGAGCCAACGUCAAUCUUUUAUCUAAUAAAUACAUCCAUUCUAGAAUUUUAGGUUUGUUGCAUGUAUUAGCUCUAGAAUUACUACGGUUAUCCGAGUAGUAGAUACCAUCAAACAAACUAUAACUAAUUUAAUGAGCCAUUCGCAGUUUCACAGUCUGAAUUUGUUCAUACUUACACAUGCAUGGCUUAAUAUUUGAGAAUAGCAUAGGACUACUU